RNAcentral lists this long non-coding RNA (1300 nucleotides) under Carica papaya (papaya). Its description in RNAcentral is "long non-coding RNA (CPAP_LNC011754)". The record is from RNAcentral. Lineage: Eukaryota; Viridiplantae; Streptophyta; Magnoliopsida; Brassicales; Caricaceae.
UCGACUUUUGAUUUUAAAAAAUUAAAGAAAAUGAAUUAGUACAAGUAGGUAUGUAUCAAUUUUUCUUGCUUGUUAUACUGAAUUGGAUCGGAUUUGAUUUAGAAGGCAAAGAUUUGUGAGAAUACAUCUUGGUUAUAUAUAUAAUACUAUAUAUUUUUAAUUAAUCUUAAUUAAAAAUAUAAAAAUAACAUGUCAAUUAACACAAAACCCACAAAGAACAAAAUUAAAUACUGUUUUUCGUGAACCCAGAAUAGGAUUAAAUCUCAAUUAAUGAUCAGAUUAAGUUGGGAAUGGCAUAAAUUAAUGUUAAUAAAUUAAAAUCUCAAUUAAUGACCGGAUUAACAUUAAUUGCGCAGUGAAAAACCAUCACGAAUGCCUAAAUCAUCCGUACCAGCACGAAAUUGCACAGUGAAAACCAGAACAGCCAUGUUAACGGUCGGUAGCAUUCUUCUUUUUCCUUUCCUGCUCUGACUCACCCAUUGAAUUUUGAAAAAACCACUACCCAGAACCUGGGAGCUAAAACUGAAACCCAACACGAAAAACCACUACCCAUGAAUCUGGGAGCCAAAACCACCUUGUUUCACUUUCUCGAGAAACAACCAACGCAACUUUUUCUCUCCCUUUAAAAGAAAAUAAAAAUAAAUCCUCUACGCCCCCUUCGUCCUCUGAUUUUCAUCUAUAUAAAUCCAUGCAACACACAGAACUAACAAGUUUCACUCAAGUGAAAACAAAGCAACCUUCCAUCCAGAACCACCAUUCUCAAUUUCCCAUAACCAGUUUCGAAAUUGUUCUCCGACACCCUCUUCAGUUUCUCGGAGAAAUAAGCGAGAGAGAUCAAAGUGACGGAUGGGUAACAACGGUAAUAGGGUUUCCAAGUUUGAGGUGGCACUAAACUCGAUACAGCAGAGAAUGAAGACGAAGCUUGUGACAGAACCAGCAAGUAACAAUGGCGUGUGGCGAGUAUCUAGUGGCGGUGUUAAUGAUCAAGGGUCGAAGAUGAACAGUGAUGAGGAAAGCAAGAGGAGGAGGCGGAGGAGGGAAGAGAAGGAUGAGAUUCUCAUGCACCUGGUUUUCUGGGGACCCAAAUAAUUUCUUUAUUUAAAUAAUUAUUUUUUUUUUCUUUAAUACCAAUUUUGUCGCUAAAUGUUAUUGAUAUUAUUUCUUGUCGAAUAAAAUAUUUUAAUUUUAAUUAUUUUAAUAUAAAGAUAUAAAAUUAAAUAUAACUAAAAUUUUAAAAUAUAAAUAACUUGUUUUAACUAUAUUUUUUAAUUUUUAAUGAUUAUUAUUAUUUAUAUUAUUG